CUGCUCUCACUUCUCUUCAGCGUGGCUGCUGUUCUUCACUUCUUCCUGAGCUCCACAAAGGAUGAGAAAACAGCUGUGCUCUCCUGAUGACCUGCAAUCCCUCUCCAGGUUCUGGGCAUCUCUUGUUGACACUGGCAUCAGACUGGUAGGGGUGAGAUGGAUUAAGGUUCCCUUUCCUCAGCAACUUUAGCUUGAAGGUCUCUUCACCAGCUUGGCAAGCCUAUGACCAAAGAUGCUCUUCCCCUCCUCUGACAGAUGGACACACACAUGGACUCCUCUGUACUGUAUUAUGCUUGAAUUCCUGUGAUUGCUGAAUCUUCCUGACUCACCUAUA
This is a long non-coding RNA of Onychostruthus taczanowskii (white-rumped snowfinch), 334 nucleotides long. RefSeq lists it as uncharacterized. Lineage: Eukaryota; Metazoa; Chordata; Aves; Passeriformes; Passeridae. The transcript is spliced from 3 exons. The record is from RefSeq and is a predicted model, not a curated record.